RNAcentral lists this ribosomal RNA (1413 nucleotides) under uncultured bacterium. RNAcentral describes it as "partial 16S ribosomal RNA". It matches the Rfam family "Bacterial small subunit ribosomal RNA". The record is from RNAcentral.
GGCGGCGUGCUUAACACAUGCAAGUCGAACGAACCUUCGGGUUAGUGGCGGACGGGUGAGUAACGCGCGAGAAUCUGCCCUCAGGAGGGGGAUAACAGCUGGAAACGGCUGCUAAUACCCCAUAUGCCGCGAGGUGAAAUGAAUUUCGCCUGAGGAUGAGCUCGCGUCUGAUUAGCUAGUUGGUGUAGGUAAUGGCUCACCAAGGCAUCGAUCAGUAGCUGGUCUGAGAGGAUGAUCAGCCACACUGGGACUGAGACACGGCCCAGACUCCUACGGGAGGCAGCAGUGGGGAAUUUUCCGCAAUGGGCGAAAGCCUGACGGAGCAACGCCGCGUGAGGGAUGAAGGCCUCUGGGCUGUAAACCUCUUUUAUCAAGGAAGAAGAUCUGACGGUACUUGAUGAAUAAGCCACGGCUAAUUCCGUGCCAGCAGCCGCGGUAAUACGGGAGUGGCAAGCGUUAUCCGGAAUUAUUGGGCGUAAAGCGUCCGCAGGCGGCCCUUCAAGUCUGCUGUUAAAAAGUGGAGCUUAACUCCAUCAUGGCAGUGGAAACUGUUGGGCUUGAGUGUGGUAGGGGCAGAGGGAAUUCCCGGUGUAGCGGUGAAAUGCGUAGAUAUCGGGAAGAACACCAGUGGCGAAGGCGCUCUGCUGGGCCAUCACUGACGCUCAUGGACGAAAGCCAGGGGAGCGAAAGGGAUUAGAUACCCCUGUAGUCCUGGCCGUAAACGAUGAACACUAGGUGUCGGGGGAAUCGACCCCCUCGGUGUCGUAGCCAACGCGUUAAGUGUUCCGCCUGGGGAGUACGCACGCAAGAUUAAAACUCAAAUGAAUUGACGGGGGCCCGCACAAGCGGUGGAGCAUGUGGUUUAAUUCGAUGCAACGCGAAGAACCUUACCUACUCUUGACAUCCAGAGAACUUUCCAGAGAUGGAUUGGUGCCUUCGGGAACUCUGAGACAGGUGCUGCAUGGCUGUCGUCAGCUCGUGUUGUGAAAUGUUGGGUUAAGUCCCGCAACGAGCGCAACCCUUAUCCUUGUUUGCCAGCGAGUAAUGUCGGGAACUCCAGGGAGACUGCCGGUGAUAAACCGGAGGAAGGUGGGGACGACGUCAAGUCAUCAUGGCCCUUACGAGUAGGGCUACACACGUGCUACAAUGGCGCAUACAGAGGGCGGCCAACUUGCGAGAGUGAGCGAAUCCCAAAAAGUGCGUCGUAGUCCGGAUCGGAGUCUGCAACUCGACUCCGUGAAGUCGGAAUCGCUAGUAAUCGCUGGUCAGCUACACAGCGGUGAAUUCGUUCCCGGGCCUUGUACACACCGCCCGUCACACCAUGGGAGUUGGUUGUACCCGAAGUCGUUAUCCUAACUUUUAGAGGGAGGCGCCUAAGGUAAAAUUGGUAAGCGAGGUGAAGUCGUAACAAGG